UACGGAGGGUGCGAGCGUUAUCCGGAUUUACUGGGUUUAAAGGGUGCGUAGGUGGGCAGGUAAGUCAGUGGUGAAAUCUCCGGGCUUAACCCGGAAACUGCCAUUGAUACUAUCUGUCUUGAAUAUCCUGGAGGUGAGCGGAAUAUGUCAUGUAGCGGUGAAAUGCUUAGAUAUGACAUAGAACACCGAUUGCGAAGGCAGCUCACUACGGGGUCAUUGACACUGAGGCACGAAAGCGUGGGGAUCAAACAGGAUUAGAAACCCUAGUAGUCC
This 273-nucleotide ribosomal RNA is filed under the name uncultured prokaryote. Its description in RNAcentral is "partial 16S ribosomal RNA". It matches the Rfam family "Bacterial small subunit ribosomal RNA", at positions 524 to 796 of the family's 1533-position model. The record is from RNAcentral.